Molecule: long non-coding RNA, 1447 nt
Organism: Tympanuchus pallidicinctus (lesser prairie-chicken)
Lineage: Eukaryota; Metazoa; Chordata; Aves; Galliformes; Phasianidae
Exons: 4
Source: RefSeq, a predicted model, not a curated record
GGGGAAGGAUCUCUUUCUGUAGAUCUCUCCUUUGGGGAGUUUUCCCCAAUGAGUGUAGAUCUUUAGAGUUCCAGCCAAACAUGAGUAUUACAAGGGAGAACAGAAGAAAAACAGGAAGAGAACAGAAGGAGAAACAGAAUUAUAGAAGAGCAAUGUGUAAAUCUGCUAUUUUGUUAAAGUCAAUUACAAGUGGAAAUCUGAAAAUCUUGCCAUGAAGAAGAGCUGAAAAUAAGCACCUAUAUUUUCAAUUGCAAAAAAAAGCUGUUGCAUGUGGUUAGAACAUUCCCUGAAAACUGGAGAUUACUCAGCUGGCUUGCUGGAAAACUAUUGCAUUACUUCUAGAUAAACAUCAUUAAACAGAGUGCAGUGCUUAGCUUCACUCAGCUGGAAAGCUGCAAGUAACUUGCCAUUGACAUGAAAAUGAUUGAGUAGGCAAUAAUGUUCAUUUUUGUAGGGUGACUGAGGUUGCAUAGGAAAAAGGUGAUGCAGUGAAAUUAAAUGUGAGGUUACAUGUGCAGAAACAAAUACUGCAGGGCUGCACUUAGUGAGUGGCUUACAGCAUUUUGGAAAACUAACUCUUUGAAAGCUAAUGAUAGCUUCCAGCACACAGUGAUAGCUUAAAAAUAAAAAAAAAUAAUAAAAAAAGGGCUUAGCAGAAAGAAAUGCUAGAUAUCAGUAACGCAGUUGUGUUACUACUUUGUAUGGUAUUCAUGGUAUAACUAUGUCAUUAUGUUUGCUUCUGGCAUCCAAGCAUCCUGUAUUUGAUGUCAGUGAAUUGGAAUAGUUUCAGGAAAAAAAAAAAAAAAAAGCAGAACAAAAUAAACAAUCUUGCAUUGUAGUAAACUAAAGACAAAGUAAAACCCCCUCAAUCCUUUUUGAUUAUUCAGUAGAACAUUUGGGAAUAGCCUAAGUUUGUAUAUGGAAGUAAGACUUAUGCCUUUAAAUAUCACUACAGAAUCAUGUUGUGAUCCAAAACCUGAAGCAUGGAGCUUCAGAAGAAGUUUGAGGAGUGGGGGAAAAAAGCACGUGUCAAAAAGAAAGAAAAAUCUCAUAAAUACAUUCAAUGCAGCAGCUCAUACUCUAGGAACAUCCUAGAAUCUUUGUAAAUCCAUAUGGUUUAAAACUGGAUCACAUCUCUCUGAAGAAGGGAAGUUAUCACUCAUCUACAAUUACUGCAUUUGUCAGAAAUGACUGGAUACCAGUUAGGAGGCAAAAUAUUUUUGAUGGAAAGUAUAACAUCAGGAAGAAAAGCUGCCAAGUCAGGACCCCUAGAUUCUUCUCUAGAAGUAAUUUUGAUUGCACAGAUCUAGAAACUUCACUAGGACAAAGCUGGAACAGAGAGGAAAUCACAAGAAACAUGAAGAUGUAGUCAAGGAAGGCUUUGAGCAGCAAAAAGAGCGAAACCCAAGUUUUGGAGAUAACAGUUAGGAGAACAGAUUUUGCAAGA